UUAAAAAGCUCGUAGUUGGAUUUCUGCGAGGGUGCCAAUGUCCGCCGACGACGACGUGCGCAGCGGCGCCCUCGACAUCCUUCUGUUACCACCUCUCGGCAUUCACUUGCCGGUGGUCGGCUCAGAGAAUUUACCUUGAGAAAAUUAGAGUGUUUCGGGCAGGCUAGGCCGGAAUACAUUAGACAUGGAAUAAUGGAAUAGGACUACGGUCUCGUUGUUGGUUUGAGGGACUGCAGUAAUGACUAAUAGGGAUAGUUGGGGGCAUUAGUAUUUAAUUGGUCAGAGGUGAAAUUCUCAGAUUUGUUAAAGACUAACUUAUGCGAAAGCAUUUGCCAAGGAUGUUUUCAUUAAUCAAGAACGAAAGUUAGGGGAUCAAAGACGAUCAGAUACCGUCCUAGUCUUAACCAUAAACUAUGCCGACUCGGGAUCGGGGGCGUGAACUAUCCGCCUUCGGCACCGUAUGAGAAAUCAAGUCUUUGGGUUCUGGGGGGAG
RNAcentral lists this ribosomal RNA (493 nucleotides) under uncultured eukaryote. RNAcentral's name for it is "SSU rRNA". It matches the Rfam family "Eukaryotic small subunit ribosomal RNA", at positions 619 to 1123 of the family's 1831-position model. The record is from RNAcentral.